This 752-nucleotide ribosomal RNA is filed under the name Bacillus sp. 17863. Its description in RNAcentral is "bacterial SSU rRNA". It matches the Rfam family "Bacterial small subunit ribosomal RNA", at positions 65 to 798 of the family's 1533-position model. The record is from RNAcentral. Lineage: Bacteria; Bacillati; Bacillota; Bacilli; Caryophanales; Bacillaceae.
AGCGAACCGACGGGAGCUUGCUCCCUUAGGUUAGCGGCGGACGGGUGAGUAACACGUGGGUAACCUGCCUGUAAGACUGGGAUAACUCCGGGAAACCGGGGCUAAUACCGGAUGCUUGAUUGAACCGCAUGGUUCAAUUAUAAAAGGUGGCUUUUAGCUACCACUUACAGAUGGACCCGCGGCGCAUUAGCUAGUUGGUGAGGUAACGGCUCACCAAGGCGACGAUGCGUAGCCGACCUGAGAGGGUGAUCGGCCACACUGGGACUGAGACACGGCCCAGACUCCUACGGGAGGCAGCAGUAGGGAAUCUUCCGCAAUGGACGAAAGUCUGACGGAGCAACGCCGCGUGAGUGAUGAAGGUUUUCGGAUCGUAAAACUCUGUUGUUAGGGAAGAACAAGUACCGUUCGAACAGGGCGGUGCCUUGACGGUACCUAACCAGAAAGCCACGGCUAACUACGUGCCAGCAGCCGCGGUAAUACGUAGGUGGCAAGCGUUGUCCGGAAUUAUUGGGCGUAAAGCGCGCGCAGGCGGUUUCUUAAGUCUGAUGUGAAAGCCCCCGGCUCAACCGGGGAGGGUCAUUGGAAACUGGGGAACUUGAGUGCAGAAGAGGAGAGUGGAAUUCCACGUGUAGCGGUGAAAUGCGUAGAGAUGUGGAGGAACACCAGUGGCGAAGGCGACUCUCUGGUCUGUAACUGACGCUGAGGCGCGAAAGCGUGGGGAGCGAACAGGAUUAGAUACCCUGGUAGUCCAC